RNAcentral lists this transfer RNA (71 nucleotides) under Candidatus Pacearchaeota archaeon. RNAcentral describes it as "tRNA-Trp". It matches the Rfam family "tRNA". Rfam says of the family: Transfer RNA (tRNA) molecules are approximately 80 nucleotides in length. Their secondary structure includes four short double-helical elements and three loops (D, anti-codon, and T loops). Further hydrogen bonds mediate the characteristic L-shaped molecular structure. tRNAs have two regions of fundamental functional importance: the anti-codon, which is responsible for specific mRNA codon recognition, and the 3' end, to which the tRNAs corresponding amino acid is attached (by aminoacyl-tRNA synthetases). tRNAs cope with the degeneracy of the genetic code in two manners: having more than one tRNA (with a specific anti-codon) for a particular amino acid; and 'wobble' base-pairing, i.e. permitting non-standard base-pairing at the 3rd anti-codon position. RNAcentral also lists the same sequence under 1 other name. Lineage: Archaea; Nanobdellati. The record is from RNAcentral.
GGGCGCGUAGUUUAAUGGUAAAAUAACUGGCUCCAGACCAGUAGCCGGGGGUUCAAUUCCCUCCGUGCCCA